RNAcentral lists this long non-coding RNA (462 nucleotides) under Chinchilla lanigera (long-tailed chinchilla). RNAcentral describes it as "lncRNA (ENSCLAG00000028418.1)". Lineage: Eukaryota; Metazoa; Chordata; Mammalia; Rodentia; Chinchillidae. The record is from RNAcentral.
CGCCUACUCGCUCUGCCCAUCGCAGGGCUGGGCUCGCUGAGGUCACACAGCGGAGCGGGGGACACGGACUCACCCCACCCACGGGCAGGGGUCGCUCGGAGACUUCCGCACAGAAUCAGAAUGUUCAGGGCUUGUCAGUAAAAGUCAGAAACAGGUUCAUCAGGCAGAGUGUUAAAAGUAUACAAAGAAAGAGGGAGAGAGCUGCCUGGCCCCGAACUGGGUCUCUCCACGGGGACUUGGAGGUGUCCGUAAUAUCCAAGGGUGGGGUUGGCAGAGGGAGCACAAUUUACAGACAAGAACCUUUCUGGGGGUAGAAUUCAAUGUGUCACCGAGCCCAGUGGAUGUCCUCAAAAAGGCCAGGCAAGGAACAAACCAAGACAAGCCAUCCCAGGGAAAGCAAGGAGCCCCUGGGUGGAAAAGAAGAGCGGCCACGCAGGACAUGCAUGUGUUUCAGGUGCGGGG